AGCAUCCGUAUUAAAAGCAACCGAGUCAGCAUCUACUUCUUCGAAUAUUUUAGCUCAGGGUAUCAAGACAAGUUCUGUAGAAAUGAUUAAUGAUGUGUGCCCUUUGGCUCAAAUGGCUGCAUUUUCACAUCAAACUUUAGAUUGAUUACAUACAAACCUGUGCAUCUGGAAAAGUUUUAAGGCAUACCAUGCCCUAUAUAAAUAGAUUUCAAUUGCUUUGUCAUCCAAACACAGAGG
This 237-nucleotide long non-coding RNA is filed under the name Mytilus galloprovincialis (Mediterranean mussel). Lineage: Eukaryota; Metazoa; Mollusca; Bivalvia; Mytilida; Mytilidae. The record is from RNAcentral.